UACGGGGGGGGCAAGCGUUGUUCGGAAUUACUGGGCGUAAAGGGCUCGUAGGCGGCCAACUAAGUCAGACGUGAAAUCCCUCGGCUUAACCGGGGAACUGCGUCUGAUACUGGAUGGCUUGAGGUUGGGAGAGGGAUGCGGAAUUCCAGGUGUAGCGGUGAAAUGCGUAGAUAUCAGGAGGAACACCGGUGGCGAAGGCGGGUCUCUGGGCAGUAACUGACGCUGAGGAGCGAAAGCGUGGGGAGCGAACAGG
Molecule: ribosomal RNA, 253 nt
Filed under: uncultured bacterium
Lineage: Bacteria
Description: partial 16S ribosomal RNA
Rfam family: Bacterial small subunit ribosomal RNA
Source: RNAcentral